UAAGCUUUAAAGGAAAUGUAAGCCAUAGUUAAGCGAGAAAUCAGAGUUCAAGAUUCUUAUUGAUGUGCUUCCAAAUUUGGCUUAUUUAUUGUGGUAAAUCGGAUAUGUUUAUCUGAAUUCAAAUAAAAGAAUAAAGCUUAAAAAUAAUGUCAUUAAGAAACUAACUAUGAACAAAUAAUAUCGUGAAGCUAGUUGUUUCUAAGUAUAAACGAUUGUGUAAAUCUCUUAUCGCAUAAAAAUAAUAGUCAUUUGAAAAUGAACCAUCAGUUUUUGUCUUUAUAAAGCUUUUGAAUGAUAACUAUAUAAGAUGCAAGUAAAAAAUUAAACGAAAACAUUACACUUAAUUGUUAGAAUGUUUUCCCGAUCACUCAAUCAAGUCUGUCUUCAAGGAGAAAUUAAAAAUAAUUAUGGACCGACUUAUGAGUAAAACUCUGUUUAUUCGCUAGAGGAAAAUGGGCUGAAAGUGUAGCUUUCGUCGUAAGCCGCCGUCAACCCUACGGCCUUGGCAAGUUGUCUUUUCCAAAGAGAUUGAUCGUUUUCGUCAUAGGAAACUCCGUAUCCCUUUAGAUAUCGAGUACAGUUCUCUUCUGACAAAGAAUCAAUGUCUUCGAUACGAGUAAUUCGAGGCAAAUUAGGGUCAGGAAUAUCGCCAUUAAAAAAGGGAACCUCAGUAAUAGGUUGAGCAAAACUUCUCAUAAUCAUGUUGUUAUUUCGAGAGAGCCUCAUGUCCAUACGAUCAACCUUUCUCGUCAAGUUUGACAAAUCGUUUCGCAUGUCUCGUUGAACAUCAAGGAUUUCUCGAACUAUAUUAAGAAGAUUUUCUAGGCGUUCAUCCGUCGACUUUCUCCACUCA
This is a non-coding RNA of Schizosaccharomyces pombe (fission yeast), 853 nucleotides long. The record is from the annotation of a GenBank genome assembly. Lineage: Eukaryota; Fungi; Ascomycota; Schizosaccharomycetes; Schizosaccharomycetales; Schizosaccharomycetaceae.